GUUGCAAAUCAAUCUUGUUCCUAUGAUUUCUUCAACUAUCACAGCGUGUCUUCUUUCGUCCAAGUUGAAAAGUAAUAUUCGUCGAGUGGCAAGGAGUGUUUCCAAAUGUCAACUGAAGAAGGUUGCAGUGCGAAAAAAGCGGGUUGGUUCGGAGGGGAAAAAAACUACUUCGGUUUGUUCCGACACAACAAAGUAUAUAAAAGAAACCGAAAACUGCCGACUCGAGUAUGUCAACAGAUGGCGCGAUUGACUACGACGUCGUGGUGGUGGUGGUGGUGGAAGUGGAAGGUGAAAUUGGGGCUACGGAAGAGGAUGAAAGCUGCUGCGAUUGGAGGCUGCAGGUUAACAAGGAGGUAGACGAUGUCAAGAAAAAAGAAGCACGACUGCAGAGCAGAGUAUCGCUCGACGGUUGGAGUCGCGAUUCAACAACUGGGUUCAACGGACAAAUCAGCAAACCCAUGGCGGGUUCAGAACAACGGUGGUUUUAGUAUGCGGCUCCACGGCAGGAUGUUAUGUGUGCGUCUGCCUUGGGUUAUAUCUUCGUCUGCGAUAAGAACCCCUCCCUUUUGAAGAAAAACACACCCCACGUCUCGGAGGAGUUCAACCUCGUCUCGGAUGGCUUGAAUGCAAUUCAGCAAGGUUCAGCAAAAACAAUCCAGAAGAAGAAAGAAGAGUCCAAUAGGCUGUCAUUUUGUAAGAGGAAAAUGGUUCCGAUUCCAUUUUCCGCCACACGACGAUGACAGGAAACUCUUUCAAGUCUAGUCGUUUUUCCUCAUCGAGUCUACAGAAGGAAGGCCAACCAAACAUACAACUGUAUGGACAGACAGAUGCUAUCUUCACAACUAGGAAUAGACAAGGGGCUCUCGUCAAACAGCGACACCUUUUGUUUGUGCUGUAAGAAUGUCAAGGUUUAUUGUUUUCUUUCAUGUCAUUAAGUAGACUGAAGAACGAAGAGGGCAGGUACAAAUCCCCCUCUGGGUCGCAUCACCUUAUAAUGCGCAAAAGAAUGCAAUUAUGGCCGACAUCCAAGGUCGGAAACUGGUUCCUUCUUCCCAUAUUUCGUAUGUUUGGUCGUUUUUUUUUUUUGUUGUUGCCGGAAUUGAUGUAUCAUCGUACUGCAACUACCAUUUAUGGUUUCAUCCAUAAACAAAUCGAAUAAAAACUCCAGUGGGGUAGUACGUCUACGAAUAACACACAAAAGCCAGCUAUAUCGCUGAGCCAGUUUUGCAGUCGUGUCCACACGUCUUUCUGAAUUCUUGGUCUACGUGGAACAAGACACGGUGAAAAAUUCAUGAAAUAUUUUCAUCUGUCUAAUGAUUAUAAAUGUUGUAAGAUAGCAGCAUGACAGUGAUUUUCUCAGGCAAAUGUUUGGAUAGCGACAGCAGUCGGCCAUUGUCCUUGACCAGUUUUGGUUGUGUUCCUCCCUCUAUUCUUUAAUUACACAUUUGGUAAGGGGGAAAAGAAAAAGACCCGAGGGAAAGGAGGGAAAACGCCCCUGUCUGAUGGGCGAAUGAAAAACAUUUCAUAAGUCCUAAACUUGAAUAAGCCCAACCCAGAAAAUUACACAAAACAUUCGUCCUUCAUUUUUAUGAGCAAUCAUUCUUCGUAAAAUGGAUGGAAAACGUUUUCAGGACGACAGGACAUGGGAAAAAUAUGGCCGUCUUGGUCGCGCGGAAGUGUCACGUAACCUUCGUCUGACGGCCGGGUGUCAAGCUUCAUCGUGACCUGAAUAUUCUUUAUGUGAAUGUCUCGAGAAUCGAGAAAACAAAAAUGAAGCACCAACAGAAAUGCGGUAAUGAGCAGGGAACCAGGCCCAGCGUUAGCAGACGACGUUACAGAAAAUCUAUAAUUAGUAUCCGGUUUAGUGAGAGCACGAGGUUCGACGAACGUGACAGAUGAAUAAAUCCCUAAAUAUUCUACAGCAAAUAUAUACAAUUUCACUCACCAAACAAAAAAUUUCAAAAUGUGCAGCUGAAUAAACACACACACAGAGACGCCAAGGUCUGCUGCUAGUGCCUGUGGCUUUUUUCUUUUUCCCCGAAAAGAGAAAAUGCCUGAAAUACGAGAUACUUGGAGAGUUCAUGGAGUGUGUGCAUCGAUUAAGAUUAGUAGAAGUAGAAAAGAAGAAGAAAAAAAAUAACUUUUUGGACAGCCGCCAACGGUCUAGUUUCACUGUGCACGAGACGUUGCCGGCCAAAAGUUCCGAAUGCCGGCUAUUUUAACCAUCGCCGCAAGUUACGUGUCUUACCACUACUACCACUACUGCUAGAACGUACUUCUUGGAUGCUUGUCACGUGAUAACGCAUCUAACCAGCGGUUCAGUCUUUUACGCGCUACAUGAUUCACGCUGCUCACUGCAAUUACUCGUUGAGAGGGGGGAAGAAAAAGGGAUAAGCCUAACCGAGGCGUGGUCGUCGCUAGUAGUAGCGAUCAAUAAAAUCGACCCUCGUAUGCGUGCAGGGUGCGCUCGUGGACGACUAUACGCCCUGACUACUUUACUGUCAAACCGAAGAAAGUAUAAUAGAAUGUCACAAAUUAAAAAGGACACAUACCGAAAAGGAAUCCUUCGACGUUACUCCACCAAAGUUGAGCAGUUGACUAAAAUGGAACGAGAGCACGGGAUCUGGCAACGCUGUGACUCUUACAUCGCCCUCGUUCUCUUCGCGUGUGUUGACUCGCAAUAACUGGUGGGAAAAGAAAUCAAAAAUCAAGGGAAUGACGAAGAAUAAUGAUUUCUCCCGAAAUAGAAAAGGUGUUCAUAGAUGAGCGCAAAGCUCAUCACUGCAUUUAGGUCUUUCACCACACACGUUUCUUAUAGACAAGAAAAUGAUAGAAUUCUAAACUAAAGUGCAUUUAAAUGGGGAAAUCAGUCCUCGUGAUUUUUCGUUCGCUCAAGGCAGUUUAUACUAGUUUGCGAUCAUGAAUUGCACACGACGUGGCAUCGUGAAUGGUUGCCAUAAAUUAUUACGACACCAAAAAAACCUUAAGUCUAGUAAUCAUUCUAAGACAAAGGCUUUUAGUUUAACGAAGCACAUAGUUAGUCUUUUUAUCUUUAUGUAUUUGUAUAAAGGUUAAACUAAGCUCUUUGAAAUGGUGAUGAGGGUGGAGGCGGAGUCUAAUGAAAAACGGUCACGUGACGGACUGCCGCGAGGGUCCAUUGCACCAUCGCGGGCUACUUGCGGACCCAACAUUCGAAAUGGUUAAAAGUUUGAGAACGAUGAGAAUUGUAAAGAAAGAAACCAGGGUUUAGAAUUACGCAUUCAGGAGGUGUCUAGUUUUCUGUGUUUCAUGACGGUCAAGAGAAAAGAAUGAUUCCAGUUCUGACUUGGCGUGAUGGAUCGACUCCAUUCUCUCUUUCUCUUCUCUUUCUCUUGGUCUCUCGCUUCCUUAAUCGGAAUUUGGAAUAGAUUAUUCCCAUGUUUGUCUGUCAAUGGCUCUUAAACUUUUUCCCUAUUCAACCUAUCGGCCAUUGAUAAGAGCUUAGCCAAUGACAGAACAAAACGGCCACUACGGUAGUUCUGGUCGGUAAACCCCGAUUAAAUAUUUGAUUCUACUUUGCCGCCAACGUGACAAAAACGGGAACUUUCCAAUACUAGAGCUCCUGUUUUUCCAGUUCUCGUUGCUUUUUUGUUUAUGCUCCUUUUCCUGCCGUAAUCGCACCUUAUGAGAGUCGUCGGCAAUUUCCAAACUUAAUGUAUUGCUACUCACAAGGUGACUCAAACAAGGAACCUGUUUUUAGGGGUUUUUUUGUAUUUCCUGCAAGAUUCUUAAAUUCAUCGCUGCAUGAAAGGAACAAAAUUAACUGGUUUCAAGAUCAGAUCUGUCUUGAUCAGUUGAAACGGAUGAUGAUGGAUUUACGAUGAUGACUAUCGCGCACAGGUUCCGAAACCAAAUAAGACGAAAUUCUCCAGAAAUGCAUUUUUGUUAUUUCUCCACCCACCAUUCUAGGCCAUACCCUUGGCCGGAAAAGAUUUGUGGAAGUAAUUUAUUGAUUAGAUCUUUGGAAAUCUGUUGUUUUGCUAAAGGUUAAGGGGUGUGUAUUUUCCCGUUUGAUUUUGAUGGACAACAUUAGAUUUGUUAGAUUUUAAUGGAAAGCACGUUAAGGACGCUUAGCUAACUGUCCUUCUAAUUUUCGCUUGUUGAUGAAGAGCGUGACGUGGCAUUAAAGCGAAAAUGAGGCCGAGGUACUGUAUUGUCUAUUGGCAAGGAACUCCGCAAAAACCAAAGUGGGCGUGGGUCUUCACUUUUUUUUUUUUUUUUUUUUUUAUCUUUCGUUUUUAUUUCACCG
RNAcentral lists this long non-coding RNA (4288 nucleotides) under Daphnia magna. RNAcentral describes it as "uncharacterized LOC116928917, transcript variant X3". The record is from RNAcentral. Lineage: Eukaryota; Metazoa; Arthropoda; Branchiopoda; Diplostraca; Daphniidae.